CUAAUACAUGCAAGUCGAACGAACGGAGGAAGAGCUUGCUCUUCCAAAGUUAGUGGCGGACGGGUGAGUAACACGUGGGCAACCUGCCUGUAAGUUGGGGAUAACUCCGGGAAACCGGGGCUAAUACCGAAUGAUAAAGUGUGGCGCAUGCCACGCUUUUGAAAGAUGGUUUCGGCUAUCGCUUACAGAUGGGCCCGCGGUGCAUUAGCUAGUUGGUAGGGUAAUGGCCUACCAAGGCAACGAUGCAUAGCCGACCUGAGAGGGUGAUCGGCCACACUGGGACUGAGACACGGCCCAGACUCCUACGGGAGGCAGCAGUAGGGAAUCUUCCGCAAUGGACGAAAGUCUGACGGAGCAACGCCGCGUGUAUGAAGAAGGUUUUCGGAUCGUAAAGUACUGUUGUUAGAGAAGAACAAGGAUAAGAGUAACUGCUUGUCCCUUGACGGUAUCUAACCAGAAAGCCACGGCUAACUACGUGCCAGCAGCCGCGGUAAUACGUAGGUGGCAAGCGUUGUCCGGAUUUAUUGGGCGUAAAGCGCGCGCAGGCGGUCUUUUAAGUCUGAUGUGAAAGCCCCCGGCUUAACCGGGGAGGGUCAUUGGAAACUGGAAGACUGGAGUGCAGAAGAGGAGAGUGGAAUUCCACGUGUAGCGGUGAAAUGCGUAGAUAUGUGGAGGAACACCAGUGGCGAAGGCGACUCUCUGGUCUGUAACUGACGCUGAGG
Molecule: ribosomal RNA, 722 nt
Filed under: Shigella sonnei
Lineage: Bacteria; Pseudomonadati; Pseudomonadota; Gammaproteobacteria; Enterobacterales; Enterobacteriaceae
Description: bacterial SSU rRNA
Rfam family: Bacterial small subunit ribosomal RNA
Source: RNAcentral